RNAcentral lists this non-coding RNA (127 nucleotides) under Pseudobacteroides cellulosolvens. Its description in RNAcentral is "c-di-GMP sequence". It matches the Rfam family "c-di-GMP-I riboswitch aptamer". Rfam says of the family: GEMM was predicted in a large-scale screen for bacterial structured RNA regulatory elements. Genes associated with GEMM are involved in a diverse array of functions, including chemotaxis regulation, signal transduction, secretion and chitin. Lineage: Bacteria; Bacillati; Bacillota; Clostridia; Eubacteriales; Oscillospiraceae. The record is from RNAcentral.
AACUGACAAGGGCAAACUUACCGAAAGGUAAGGACGCAAAGUCAUGGGCCUUAGGCUAUUACUAAAUUAAAAGUGUAACUAAACACUUUUAAUUUAUAUGAAAAGCGAUGGUUGCCAGAUUACCGGA